GUCGGCGUUCAUAGCCAAUAGAAACACUUACCCAGUAACCAUGGAAGAGAUAUCCUGUUCAUAAUCCGUCGAAAAUAAUAAUAAUAAUGAAAGUACAGAGAAGAGAUACCUUUAUCCUAUCUCUUGAAUGUCCCACACGAAAUCAGAGGUAGAAAUCAUCAUGCACAAAAGAAAUGAAUCNNNNNNNNNNNNGCAUGGCACCACUCAAAAAAAAAAAAAAAAGAAAGUAAAUCAUAACUCUUAUCGUCCGAAA
This 253-nucleotide unclassified non-coding RNA is filed under the name Hevea brasiliensis (rubber tree). Lineage: Eukaryota; Viridiplantae; Streptophyta; Magnoliopsida; Malpighiales; Euphorbiaceae. The record is from RNAcentral.